RNAcentral lists this ribosomal RNA (253 nucleotides) under uncultured bacterium. Its description in RNAcentral is "partial 16S ribosomal RNA". It matches the Rfam family "Bacterial small subunit ribosomal RNA", at positions 524 to 776 of the family's 1533-position model. The record is from RNAcentral.
UACAGAGGAUGCAAGCGUUAUUCGGAAUUAUUGGGCGUAAAGGGCGCGUAGGCGGCCUGGCAAGUGGAAGGUGAAAUCCCUCGGCUUAACCGAGGAACUGCCCUCCAAACUGCUUGGCUUGAGUCCGGGAGAGGUGAGUGGAAUUCCCAGUGUAGCGGUGAAAUGCGUAGAUAUUGGGAGGAACACCAGUGGCGAAGGCGGCUCACUGGACCAUAACUGACGCUGAUGCACGAAAGCUAGGGGAGCAAACAGG